RNAcentral lists this transfer RNA (73 nucleotides) under Mycobacteroides abscessus subsp. abscessus. Its description in RNAcentral is "tRNA-Gly(tcc)". It matches the Rfam family "tRNA". From Rfam's summary of the family: Transfer RNA (tRNA) molecules are approximately 80 nucleotides in length. Their secondary structure includes four short double-helical elements and three loops (D, anti-codon, and T loops). The record is from RNAcentral. Lineage: Bacteria; Bacillati; Actinomycetota; Actinomycetes; Mycobacteriales; Mycobacteriaceae.
GCGAGCGUGGUCCAAUGGCUACGACCUCAGACUUCCAAUCUGAUGACGCGGGUUCGAUUCCCGUCGCUCGCUC